UAAUUGCAGUUUUGACAUAGGAAAGGUCU
This 29-nucleotide non-coding RNA is filed under the name Mus musculus (house mouse). The record is from RNAcentral. Lineage: Eukaryota; Metazoa; Chordata; Mammalia; Rodentia; Muridae.